GGAUCAUUGCUGGAACGCGCCCCAGGCGCACCCAGAAACCCUUUGUGAACUUAUACCUUACUGUUGCCUCGGCGCAUGCUGGCCCCCUCGGGGUCCCUUGGAGACAAGGAGCAGGCACGCCGGCGGCCAAGUUAACUCUUGUUUUUACACUGAAACUCUGAGAAAAAACACAAAUGAAUCAAAACUUUCAACAACGGAUCUCUUGGUUCUGGCAUCGAUGAAGAACGCAGCGAAAUGCGAUAAGUAAUGUGAAUUGCAGAAUUCAGUGAAUCAUCGAAUCUUUGAACGCACAUUGCGCCCUCUGGUAUUCCGGAGGGCAUGCCUGUUCGAGCGUCAUUUCAACCCUCAAGCAUUGCUUGGUGUUGGGGCACUGCCUGUAAAAGGGCAGGCCCUGAAAUCUAGUGGCGAGCUCGCCAGGACCCCGAGCGCAGUAGUUAAACCCUCGCUUUGGAAGGCCCUGGCGG
This 464-nucleotide unclassified non-coding RNA is filed under the name Diaporthe melonis var. brevistylospora. RNAcentral's name for it is "partial contains ITS1, 5.8S rRNA and ITS2". The stretch from base 183 to 336 matches the Rfam family "5.8S ribosomal RNA". The record is from RNAcentral. Lineage: Eukaryota; Fungi; Ascomycota; Sordariomycetes; Diaporthales; Diaporthaceae.